Molecule: unclassified non-coding RNA, 423 nt
Filed under: fungal sp.
Lineage: Eukaryota; Fungi
Description: partial internal transcribed spacer region
Rfam family: Eukaryotic small subunit ribosomal RNA (bases 1-46)
Source: RNAcentral
AAGUCGUAACAAGGUUUCCGUAGGUGAACCUGCGGAAGGAUCAUUAACACGUAUCCAACGUUAAACCCCCCAUGAACCUUCAGAGCGUUCUUGCCGCCCGUGACAAUCAGCAAUCCUGGUAAAUCAAGUGGGAAUAUCCGUUAUUGAUUCAGGACCUCUGCUGUCAUGUGUUAGGGAAACCAUAGCGGCAAUUGAGAGCUUUUAUCGUUAGUUUGGCGUCCUGGCCGGGCGAGUGAAAGUGUCGCUAGACGGUUUCUAGGGUAAGGCUUCGCCAUCGCUGGAGGCUCACCACGUAGCCGGCGGACAAACUACAGGGCUAUAUGCCCCCUAAUGACGACCAAGUUAAAUAGGGCCUCUGUCACAUAGCAAGUGCGCCGUGCCAGAGGAAAAGUACAACUGUUAACAAUGGAUAUCUUGGUUCUC